GAUGAACGCUAGCGGCAGGCCUAACACAUGCAAGUCGAGGGGUAGAGUUAGCUUGCUAACUUGAGACCGCGCAACGGGUGCGUAACGCGUAUGCAUCUACCCUUACUGAAGGUAUAGCCCAGAGGAAUUUGGAUUAAUACCUCAUAGUAUUAUUGAGUGGCAUCAUUUGAUAAUUAAAGUUCCAACGGUAAAAGAUGAGCAUGCGUCCCAUUAGUUAGUUGGUAAGGUAACGGCUUACCAAGACUAUGAUGGGUAGGGGUCCUGAGAGGGAGAUCCCCCACACUGGUACUGAGACACGGACCAGACUCCUACGGGAGGCAGCAGUGAGGAAUAUUGGACAAUGGGCGCAAGCCUGAUCCAGCCAUGCCGCGUGCAGGAAGACGGUCCUAUGGAUUGUAAACUGCUUUUAUACAGGAAGAAACACUCCCUCGUGAGGGAGCUUGACGGUACUGUAGGAAUAAGGAUCGGCUAACUCCGUGCCAGCAGCCGCGGUAAUACG
RNAcentral lists this ribosomal RNA (499 nucleotides) under marine sediment bacterium ISA-3247. RNAcentral describes it as "bacterial SSU rRNA". It matches the Rfam family "Bacterial small subunit ribosomal RNA", at positions 28 to 527 of the family's 1533-position model. The record is from RNAcentral.